CCAAUAGCGUAUAUUAAAGUUGUUGCAGUUAAAAAGCUCGUAGUUGAAUUUCGGGAUUAGUGCGCUGGUCAUGCCUUUGGUAUGUACUGGUGUUACUGGUUCCUACCUUCUGAAGAAUCGUUAUGUCAUUCAUUUGGUGUGGCGGGGAAUCAGGACUGUUACUUUGAAAAAAUUAGAGUGUUUAAAGCAGGCUCGCGCUUGAAUACAUUAGCAUGGAAUAAUGAAAUAGGACGUUUGACCCUAUUUUGUUGGUUUCUAGGAUCGACGUAAUGAUUAAUAGGGAUAGUUGGGGGCAUUAGUAUUCAAUUGUCAGAGGUGAAAUUCUUGGAUUUAUUGAAGACUAACUACUGCGAAAGCAUUUGCCAAGGAUGUUUUCAUUAAUCAAGAACGAAAGUUAGGGGAUCGAAGACGAUCAGAUACCGUCGUAGUCUUAACCAUAAACUAUGCCGACUAGGGAUCGGAUGAUGUUAUUUUUAGUGACUCAUUCGGCGCCUUACG
RNAcentral lists this ribosomal RNA (498 nucleotides) under uncultured Glomeromycotina. Its description in RNAcentral is "partial small subunit ribosomal RNA". It matches the Rfam family "Eukaryotic small subunit ribosomal RNA", at positions 591 to 1092 of the family's 1831-position model. Lineage: Eukaryota; Fungi; Glomeromycota. The record is from RNAcentral.